ACUCCCAAUGCACAGGGUCUGACUGUGCAGGCAGAAGACAUUUUGCUUAUUUGCUCUGCUCUUUCCUAUAGCUAACCUGCUCCCAGGUGUCUGUACUUCUUGUUUUUAACCACCUGUUUGGGCACUGUUUCUGGGAAAGCCUCUGGACGUAGGAGCUGUAGUAGGCCAUGCCGAAAGAGUAUUGUCCAAUGACUGGAAGUAUUACAUAUCAUGUGCAAGCAGCCAGAUAAUACCACCGCUGUAUAAAGUUCAUACUCAACUCCAGGAGCUCCAGUGAGGAGCUGGGCAGGCGCCGGAGGGACAGCGCUGCAGCCAGAGGGACAGAUCAGCAGCCGGAGGAAUAGUGCUGCUGCAGGGAGCCCGCUGCCCGGCAUGGAAGGGUGCAUGGCCGGAUGGAGCUUGUCAGGGAAACGUUUAGGGUUCCUGCACUGCACGGACUCCCCGUUAUCGCUGCCAAUCACGCACUUGUGGAGACUACACCCCGACUUGCUGCCACAUGCAGACUCUUCUCUUGUGACUACACACGGAAUGGUCCACAUGUCAAGUGAUAUGGACAAUGAAAUGAGCAUAUGUCCUGAAGAUUUUCCACCCACAUUUUUCCAAGUGGACAGUAUUUAACCCAAUGGAUCUAACUUCAAUUCAAGAGUGGAAAACUAAAAGUUUAAUGACAUAGAGGGCAACUGCACAUGCACUAAAAUUCACAAAAAUUCCUACAGCACACGAGUCCCACAGUGUGUCCUCACAAAGGCACAGUUGAAAUCGAUAUGCUCUGUAUAAGAAAUGCUGAGGAAAAGUGCAGGGUGUUUCUGGGCGGUGACUGGGAGGUGGCUGUUAAGGAACACAAUAAUUGCCCUGAUUUAUGAGUGUGUUAUGCAAGUGUUACAGGCAAGGCGGUGAAAGCGGCUGCGUACACAGACACACAUAGUCAGCUAGAGAAUUUUUUUUCUUUUUACUUGAAGCCCGAGGUGCGUGGCUUCAUCACCCAGUGUCUUGUGCAAAAUGUGCUGGGGGAGUAGGACCUUGUAUCCUCUCCAAAAGGAGAAGGGCCCCAUUACUCCCAACCCCUCAGAUCCAAAAGGCCUACUGAGGGGAAAAAGGGUCUGUGGGUCCCUACUUGCCAAAGCACAGAGGGACCCUCAAGUAUCCUCAGGGUUGGCCGAAGUUUCCUCCUGUGGAACGAAACAGUCUCCAGCCCUCCCCAAAAGGAGAGGACCUCAACAACUAGGGGAGAGGGUGGCCCAUAAGGGUCUCACCUAAACCCCACCAAAACGUGACAAACACACGAAAAACACAAAAAAGUGCAGUGUAGUGCAAAAAAAGUGCAAAACACGUGAAUAAAUAAAUAAAUAGGCCCCAGCCCAAAGGCCAGGAGAAAAUAAAAAAUUAUCCUUGCCCUAGCCAAAAGGCCAGGGCAAAGGAAAGUGAGUGCAGACAGGAAGGAUGAGGUGCUCAGUGCAAAAGUGCCAUACUAGUGCAUGGUGUGUCACACCACCAGUGCAUUUUCAGGCAUCCCUGGCUUUCCCAGCACCAUGGGCACAUAGCAACCUCGGGCGUCAGGCUGCUCCCGACCCUCCAGCAAGACCAAGCUUCAUACCAACUCUGUACCAGUGCAACAUAGUUUUGCCCAAUUGCUAACAUUUUUGUUUUGCUAAUAAACCUGAAUAAGGCCCUUAGUACUGAGAGACUUGGAACUGGGGGAUCCUAAUGUUAGCAAAACAUAGGAGGUUCCCCUACUUAGCUCAGGCUGUCCCAAUGCUUAAAGUAUAACUUUCCUUUAACUGUUCUUAACAGGGCCUUUCAUGAAGGUUUACAGACCCACGGACAGUACAGCAUACUUUUGUUAUACUGGUGAUAAAUGAUUGUUGUGUGUAUUAUUUCCAUUCCAUGUACUUGCCAUUCUAGCAAAUUGUUUUUCUGAAACAAUGUGCCAUCUGUGAUGAUCUUUUCCUUACCCUUCUAAAUCUGUGAUUUUGUAACCAUGGUUG
This is an RNA transcript of Pseudophryne corroboree (corroboree frog), 1985 nucleotides long. It is a transcript of the gene named SRY-box transcription factor 2, with no coding region annotated. Lineage: Eukaryota; Metazoa; Chordata; Amphibia; Anura; Myobatrachidae. The record is from RefSeq and is a predicted model, not a curated record. The transcript has 4 exons.